This 3183-nucleotide ribosomal RNA is filed under the name Fagus sylvatica (European beech). RNAcentral's name for it is "bacterial LSU rRNA". The stretch from base 1200 to 2773 matches the Rfam family "Bacterial large subunit ribosomal RNA". The record is from RNAcentral. Lineage: Eukaryota; Viridiplantae; Streptophyta; Magnoliopsida; Fagales; Fagaceae.
CUUGGUGGGAAAUAGCACUUAUUCCUGCUUCUCUUAUAAGAAUUCAAUCCCUGAAUUCAAUGUACCUAGAAAAGAUGUGGAUAUUUUUCUUUCAUCUUAGCCUCACUCUCCCAAUAGGCUUCCUCAAUGGCAUGAUUCCUCCAGACACUUUAACCAUAGAGAUAGUCUUGGUACGUAAAACAUUCUCUUUUCUGUCCCAAAGGUUGCUCUUCAUAAGACAAAUCCUCUUUAAUUUUGACUCUUUCUUAGUUCCAUGGUUUUUUUUUUUUCCUCAAGUGAAAGUUGAGGGGAUUCUACCCCCAAAUCUAACCCCAUAGUAGGGAUUGGAAUGUGACUAGACUAGAUCCUUUUGAAGUAUAGCGUAGAUGUCACUAGCGCUUCCUUAGGUCGAUUGACAAAAUGAAAUAAGAGAUGCCUUCAUUUGCUUAGGGAAUCUCUGUGUGUGUGUGUGUGUGUAUAUAUAUAAGAUUAGCACAGAGGAUUAAAAUUAGGCAAACCUGUCCUAAAUCCACUGCAGGGUUGAGACUCUGUCCACAAUCAUAGAUAAUAUCGGUUUGCAAAAUUGUGGUUUCUCCUGUCAAAAGAUUUACCUCCACCUGUGACAGCAUAGUUUCCUUAUUAGAUUUCAACUGAUAUUUCUAUUUUCACUGUAGUAUGACUUGUAAUGCAAUAAGGUGUUAAAGGUAAACUUGCCUGACUCAUUGCAGCACCGUAGUUUCGAUAUUGCAUGGAAGUAAGGUCAGGGACAAAGUAAGAACUUGCUGAUAAGUUCACAGACUGAAUGUGGGCCUACAUUUUCAUAGAUUUGAGUCAGAUGGAAAAGAUGCAAUGUAUCAAAUCAAGAAAUUUCAAAAGAAAAAUGUCAGUAAAUUUCCUGCCUCAUAGGGGUUUCAUAUAAACCAUUCUUAAUAGGACAUGCACCUACAUCAUAAAAUUACACCUUUUCUUUGUGGGAAAUUUAUAUAUGCCUAGGCACCACAUUUAAUCCAAAAUAACUGAAGGUUAUUUGUUGAGUUGCCUUUUAAAUAAUUACUAAUUUUAUUAAAAUCAAGAUUGAUUGCAGCUCAGAAUCUUAUGGGAUUGGUUAAUAAAUCAAGGAAUUGAUUGCUAGAGAAAACCAUGGGAUUGAAGCAAUCAGUAUUCAAUUCAAAUUCAAAUUAUCAAUGACUUGGUGUGUAAUCCCAUAUAAUAUGGAUCCAUGUAAUGAUAUUAAGAAUAUUGGAAUCAGAAAUUAUCCAUGUGUUCCGUGCCUGGAAGUGAAUGGAUAAGGUGGGGUGGACGAAGCGUAACGCGUAGAACAUUGUCAGGCUUUGCAGUAACGCAAACCUUGGUGAGAAUCCAAUGCCCGAAAACCUAAGGCUUCCUCCGCAAGGUUCGUCACGGAGUGAGUCAGGGCUAAGAUCAGGCCGAAAGCGUAGUCGAUGGACAACAGUGUAAUAUGCCGUACUGCCCCCUUGUUGGUCCCGAGGGACGGAGGAGGCUAGUUAGCCCGAAUAUUGGUUAUCGGUUCAAGGACGCAAGGUGCCCCUGCUUUUUUCAGGUAAGAGGGCGUAGAGAAAAUUGCCUCGAGCCAAUGUUCGAGUUACCAGGCGCUACGGCGCUGAAGUUAACCAUGCCAUACUCCAGGGAAAAGCGUCGAACGGACCUUCAACAAAAGUAGAGGUACUGUACACCGAAACCGACACAAAGGUGGGCUUUAGCGUAGAGAAUACCUAGCGGGCGCUGAGACAAACUCUCUCCUAAGCGAACUCGGUCAAAAAGCCCCGUAACUUCGGAAGAAGGGUGCCUCUCUCACCAAAGGGUUUUCUCUCUCUCGGUCGCAGUGGACAGGCCCUGGACGGACUGGUGUUACCAAAAACAAGUGUCUCCGCAAAGUCGUAUUAGACCAUGUAUGGGGGCUGACGCCUGCACACAGUGCCGGAAGGUCAAGAAGUAUUUUCUGCGUUGACCUGAAAUGGAGCAGGGGAGCCGGCGACGAAGCCCCGGUAACGCGGCCGUAACUAUAACCGUCCUAACCUGGAGCAAAUAUUCUCUUGUCGGUGUCGUUUCCUGACUCCGCCACGAUAAUGCGUAACCGAUCUUGUCUCUCACUUGUCUCGGAGAGAGACUCGGUGAAAUAGACAUGUCUGUAGAAGUAUUUUGCGGUACUACCUGCACCUGUACGAAAUGUACCCUUAUGUAAGCCUUCACUCCACAUGGGAUUGGCUUUUGGCCUUUCCUGCGAGCUAGGUAGAGGCGAAGAAGGCCUCCUUCGGGGCCCGACCGUCAGAGUAGGAUACCACUUCUGGAGAGCUAGAAUUCUAAACUUUGUGUCAGAACCUACGGCAAAGGGACAGUCUCAGGUAGACAGUUUCUAUGGGCGUAGGCCUUCCCAAAAGGUAACGGAGGCGGCAAAGUUUCCUCGGGUCAGACGAGAAUUGGCCCUCGAGUGCAAAGGCAGAAGAGCUUACUGCAGACACACCCGUCGAACAGGACGAAAGUCGGCCUUAUUAGGACUCCGACAGGUGCCAGUGGAAGAGGGCCGUCGCUCAAGCGGAUAAAAGUUACUUUCUAAGGGAUAUUAACAGAGCUGAUUCUUCCCCAAGAGCUCCCAUCGACGGGAAGGUUUGCGACCUCGAUGUCGGGCUCUUCGCCAACCCUGGGGCCUGUAGGUAAUGGUUUCCAAGGGGUCGGAGCUGUUCGGCCAUUAAAGCGGUACGUGAAGCUGAGGUUCCAGAACGUCGUGAGACAGUUCGCUGGUUUCCAUAGUCCGGUAGUGGGACGUCCUCACAUCGUUUUAGAGCAUUUAGGAGCAGCGACCUUUCCCUAGUACGCGAGAGACCGGUAAAGACGCAACCAUCUGGUCCGUACAGUUAUCUGUGCCCACUGGUAAACGUGCUGGGUAGCAAGUGCGAAGCGUAUAAAACUGCUGAAAACAGCAUCUAAAUAGUAAGCCCACCCCAAGGAUGUAGAGUGUCUCUGCAUAUCCUCGACUUCCCUCCAGAGCCUCCGGUAGCCACAGCACCGUAGUCCGACAAGCCGAAUGGGUUCUCUACCCUGUCGGGGAUGCGUGACGCAGCAAGUUUUGAGUAAUUCAAAGGUAGAGGACGGCGAGACGAUGUCCUUUAUCAAUUAACGAAGGAUGAUCAAGUGGAAAGUGCAGUGAUGUAUGCUCUGAGCAUCCUAACAGCACCGGUAUACGUG